AAUUGCAUGACAUCACGACAACCGAGUGUGCGGAUUUGCUUUUUUGCUUUCCGGCACUCUUCCGCGGCCGAGUUGGCAUUUGAAGAAGGUAACUUUUCCUCCGCUUAUUGAUAUGCAUCCUUGGAACAGGACGUCACAGAGGGUGAGAAUCCCGUGCGAUGAGAUGCCCAAUUCUAUGUAAAGUGCUUUCGAAGAGUCGAGUUGUUUGGGAAUGCAGCUCUAAGUGGGUGGUAAAUUCCAUCUAAAGCUAAAUAUUGGCGAGAGACCGAUAGCGAACAAGUACAGUGAUGGAAAGAUGAAAAGAACUUUGAAAAGAGAGUGAAAAAGUACGUGAAAUUGUUGAAAGGGAAGGGCUUGAGAUCAGACUUGGUAUUUUGCGAUCCUUUCCUUCUUGGUUGGGUUCCUCGCAGCUUACUGGGCCAGCAUCGGUUUGGAUGGUAGGAUAAUGACUAAGGAAUGUGGCUCUACUUCGGUGGAGUGUUAUAGCCUUGGUUGAUACUGCCUGUCUAGACCGAGGACUGCGUCUUUGACUAGGAUGCUGGCAUAAUGAUCUUAAGCCACCCGUCUUGAAACACAGACCAAAAA
RNAcentral lists this ribosomal RNA (585 nucleotides) under Debaryomyces hansenii. Its description in RNAcentral is "eukaryotic LSU rRNA". It matches the Rfam family "Eukaryotic large subunit ribosomal RNA", at positions 1 to 672 of the family's 3401-position model. The record is from RNAcentral. Lineage: Eukaryota; Fungi; Ascomycota; Pichiomycetes; Serinales; Debaryomycetaceae.